GUCUCUUUCUCAGCUGUUAGUGGCUGGUUGCCAGUGCCAAGAGCACUUGGGGGUACAGAAAUUACAGACUUUUCACAGCAGGAAUUCCGUUGUUGUUGGAACUAAUGUAGUAGGGAGAUUCUGACACAGUAGGAAAUUAGGUUAUAAAACCAAAAGAUCCCUCCAAGUUUAGGAUGUAGGGAUACAUUGAAUGCCACUUGUCCAAGGGGACAAGCAGGGAGGGAACUUAUGUUGGGUUGACCAAAACAUUUGUUUGGAUUUUUCCAUAAAAUGCUACGGAAGAACCUGAAUGAUCAUUUUUGCCAAACCAAUAUGUUCUUUGUUGUAUAGUGCUUUACUGCUCAUAUGUAACUCUUACCAAUGCUUGAUUCUCAUAGGUCACCUCGGAGAAGAAAACGAAAUGAUUGUCCCUUUUUAGAACUGAGGAAAGGCAGGCCUGCCAAGUGCUCAUUAACCCAGAUCUUUGGGUGUUGCCUAAGGGGCCUGGAAUGGAGUGUAACCCUGGAGAAAGAUGACCACAGCUAAGAAAAUUGCAAAAAAAAUUCCUAUUGUCUUAGUUCGGAUUCUUCCAAGACAGAUCCUGAGAUGAGGCUGCAUGUGCACAUGAUUUAUUUGGGAGAUGAUCCCAAGUAUGGUAAGAGAUUGAGAAAAUGAGGGGAAGGAAGAAAUUCAAUAAAAUGGGAAGCCUGUAGUCAAUUGAACUGCUACUCUGGCGGGGUAGGGUGCUCUGAGAGAACAGGGGGAACGUCCUUAGAAUCGAUGGGCCUACCAAGCUGGAAGGAAACUGGGGUAUUUAUCCAGCAACUCUCAUCCCUCACUGGUUGAGGUCUGUCUUGUAAUGCUACUCUUUGGGGCUGCCCCGGGGGAAGGCAGAGCAGACCCUACAGCCAGACCAUACCUGCAGGCAAGACACAGCACGUGGUUGGUAUAGGAACUCACUGUAGGAGGUC
This 950-nucleotide long non-coding RNA is filed under the name Bos grunniens (domestic yak). RNAcentral describes it as "lncRNA (ENSBGRG00000008492.1)". The record is from RNAcentral. Lineage: Eukaryota; Metazoa; Chordata; Mammalia; Artiodactyla; Bovidae.